RNAcentral lists this ribosomal RNA (330 nucleotides) under Triticum aestivum (bread wheat). Its description in RNAcentral is "partial small subunit ribosomal RNA". The record is from RNAcentral. Lineage: Eukaryota; Viridiplantae; Streptophyta; Magnoliopsida; Poales; Poaceae.
AUGGAAGACUAUCUUGAAGACAGUGAGACAACCCCAAAGUCCUGUCUUGGUUUAGAGUUCGAGUUACUGGCCACUACCGCUUGCACAAGCUAUUCAAACUCACUGUCUGAAUCAGUUCGGUUUCUUGAGUCUCAACUACAAGCUGAAAGACAUCGAUCAACUGUGCUACGACAAGAAGCGGAAGGACUGCGGAAGUCCCUGGAGCAUUCAGAUGCAUACUUUUUGGUGCAACAGCAAGCGUUGGAGGAUUUUAGCGCCAAACAGGACAAAGCUAAUAAGCUUGCUAAGCUUAUUGCCAGCAUGGUGGAUACCCAGGAUAACGUUUCUUGA